Heteronotia binoei (common prickly gecko) is the source of this 1334-nucleotide long non-coding RNA. RefSeq lists it as uncharacterized. The record is from RefSeq and is a predicted model, not a curated record. The transcript has 2 exons. NCBI's taxonomy places the organism in Eukaryota, Metazoa, Chordata, Lepidosauria, Squamata, Gekkonidae.
CUCUCAACUAAAAGAGAGUAGGCUGGGCUUUUAAAAUGGAUGGCAUGGUAGAAGGUAGCAUUUGGGGAAGGAACUGCCAGUGCUGUCUGGAACUAUGUCAACUGGUCACAUCUGCUGGGAGCCCCACAGAAUCAAAAGAGACGAGCCUUGAAUGUGUAGGGUCCCUCCCCUUCCAGUUCUGGCACAAUAAUUGUCAUACUGAGUAUAAAGUUUGAAGUUCGGUGUUCUCAUUCAGUGUCGCUACCAGUUCUUUUUGCUGGCACAAGCUUACAGAAUGUGAGGAACAGAAAAGCUAGGCAUCAUACAAAGACUGAUUUCGUUAUUUCUAUAGGGGGAAAAAUGGAUGGCAAUUCUUGUGUUGUUAAAGUAAUAUCUCCAGAUUGUUUUUGAACGAGUCACUACCCCUCUGAACAUCAAGUUAAAAUCUAAGCAACAGCCAAGGCCAGCUUAUAGAGUGUACUAGCUUCAAUUUCUUUCCUUGGCUUGGGUCUGGGAACGAAGACCAAACAUGAAACACAUAAUCUCAGUGCACUUUGAUCCAGAGCCCUUAUUCCCUUUCCUUGACUUCGACCUUCCAUAUCAACCUUUCACCGGCCAAUUCUUUUACUACGACCAAUCUUUUCUUAGCUAUGGAGUCAAUUAUGGUAGUGUCAGGCAGGAGCCUCGAGCUGCCAUUUACAGAAGGAGACGCACCAGGAUUUUGCUCAACAAGGUUAAUUUCUCCCUAUGGGAACAUUAGAAGCAAGCACAACCUCCUUCAUUCGUGUCAGUAGCAAAAGGGUCCAAACCAUUUUGGCAAUUUUUUCUCUAGUGGUACCAUAGAAUUUCCUUCAGAUCGCUAGUCUGUUCCCUCUUUACAGGUACUGGAAAGGCAAUUUCCUAAUAAAUGAAGGCACUUAUAAAGAUUCUCUUCUAUAUGGAGAAGGGACUCACUUAUGUGGAUAUUGUUUUUAUAGCAUUGAAAUAAUAUUUUUUUGAGACUAAGUUUACAUUUGCUUAUGUUUUGUCUGUACAUAAAUCCUCUCCCCCUCUGUUUUACCAUUGCUGGCGUCAGCCCUCUGUGAUACGCAGACAACAAUUUGCCUGAUGUUAUAAAACUGUGAGAUAUUGUAGACUUUUUUUUUCCUCUUUGUGUAUAUGUUCAUGACGAUGACAACUCUGUUUUGUUUUUAUAAGUUGGAAUAAUGUUGCUUUGGCGCAACACAGCUUAAAGCCUUCUGAAUGGAUUUUUAUGUUCAUGAAAAUGAACAAACCAGUGAAAGAUUUCACAUAUGUAUAUGAUAUAUGUAUAUGUAAAAACAAAAUUAGAAAAGAAAUAAACCAAAUGUAUUUCA